This 521-nucleotide ribosomal RNA is filed under the name uncultured bacterium. RNAcentral's name for it is "bacterial SSU rRNA". It matches the Rfam family "Archaeal small subunit ribosomal RNA", at positions 345 to 866 of the family's 1478-position model. The record is from RNAcentral.
AACCUCCGCAAUGUACGAAAGUGCGACGGGGGGAUCCCAAGUGUUAUGCUUUUUUGUAUAACUUUUCAUUAGUGUAAAAAGCUUUUAGAAUAAGAGCUGGGCAAGACCGGUGCCAGCCGCCGCGGUAACACCGGCAGCUCGAGUGGUAGCUGUUUUUAUUGGGCCUAAAGCGUCCGUAGCCGGUUUAAUAAGUCUCUGGUGAAAUCCUGUAGCUUAACUGUGGGAAUUGCUGGAGAUACUAUUAGACUUGAGACCGGGAGAGGUUAGAGGUACUCCCAGGGUAGAGGUGAAAUUCUGUAAUCCUGGGAGGACCGCCUGUUGCGAAGGCGUCUAACUGGAACGGUUCUGACGGUGAGGGACGAAAGUUAGGGGCGCGAACCGGAUUAGAUACCCGGGUAGUCCUAACUGUAAACGAUGCGGACUUGGUGUUGGGGUGGCUUUGAGCUGCUCCAGUGCCGAAGGGAAGCUGUUAAGUCCGCCGCCUGGGAAGUACGGUCGCAAGACUGAAACUUAAAGGAAUU